RNAcentral lists this ribosomal RNA (583 nucleotides) under uncultured bacterium. RNAcentral's name for it is "bacterial SSU rRNA". It matches the Rfam family "Bacterial small subunit ribosomal RNA", at positions 302 to 916 of the family's 1533-position model. The record is from RNAcentral.
GGNCCGNCNCNGCNGUCGACGAUUCCUACGGGAGGCAGCAGUGGGGAAUAUUGCACAAUGGGCGAAAGCCUGAUGCAGCAACGCCGCGUGAGCGAUGAAGGCCUUCGGGUCGUAAAGCUCUGUCCUCAAGGAAGAUAAUGACGGUACUUGAGGAGGAAGCCCCGGCUAACUACGUGCCAGCAGCCGCGGUAAUACGUAGGGGGCUAGCGUUAUCCGGAAUUACUGGGCGUAAAGGGUGCGUAGGUGGUUUCUUAAGUCAGAGGUGAAAGGCUACGGCUCAACCGUAGUAAGCCUUUGAAACUGGGAAACUUGAGUGCAGGAGAGGAGAGUGGAAUUCCUAGUGUAGCGGUGAAAUGCGUAGAUAUUAGGAGGAACACCAGUUGCGAAGGCGGCUCUCUGGACUGUAACUGACACUGAGGCACGAAAGCGUGGGGAGCAAACAGGAUUAGAUACCCUGGUAGUCCACGCCGUAAACGAUGAGUACUAGCUGUCGGAGGUUACCCCCUUCGGUGGCGCAGCUAACGCAUUAAGUACUCCGCCUGGGAAGUACGCUCGCAAGAGUGAAACUCAAAGGAAUUGACGG